GAUGAACGCUGGCGGCGUGCUUAACACAUGCAAGUCGAACGAGGAAGCCCGGCUUGCUGGGUGGAUUAGUGGCGAUCGGGUGUGUAACACGUCAGUAACCUUCGCUUAACCCUGGGAUAAGCUUGGCAAAUUGGGUCUAAUUCCGGAUAGGAGCGUGUACCGCAUGGUGGGUGUUGGACCGCGUGGUCGGUGUUGGAUGGACUCGCGGCCUAUCAGCUUGUUGGUGAGGUGAGGGUGCACCAAGGCGACGACGGGUAGCAGGCCUGGGAGGGUGACCGGCCACGCUACACCUGGAAUGAGGCACAGACCCCAAUGGGAGGCAGCAGAGGGGUGUAUAGCAUAGUGCGCGCAAGCCUGAUGCAGCGCAGCCGCGCGAGGGGUGACAGCCCGCGGGUUGUAAUGCUAUUUCCGUAGCGAAGAAGCGAAAGUGACGGUACCGGAAGAAGAAGCCCCGGCUAACUACGUG
This 466-nucleotide ribosomal RNA is filed under the name uncultured bacterium. RNAcentral describes it as "partial 16S ribosomal RNA". It matches the Rfam family "Bacterial small subunit ribosomal RNA", at positions 28 to 507 of the family's 1533-position model. The record is from RNAcentral.